AACGAACGCUGGCGGCAUGCCUAACACAUACAAGUCGAACGAGACCUUCGGGUCUAGUGGCGCACGGGUGCGUAACGCGUGGGAACCUGCCCUUAGGUUCGGAAUAACUCCCCGAAAGGGGUGCUAAUACCGGAUAAUGUCUUCGGCCCAAAGAUUUAUCGCCUUUGGAUGGUCCCGCGUUGGAUUAGCUAGUUGUUAGGGUAAAAGCCUACCAAGGCGACGAUCCAUAGCUGGUCUGAGAGGAUGAUCAGCCACACUGGGACUGAGAAACGGCCCAGACUCCUACGGGAGGCAGCAGUGGGGAAUAGUGGAAAAUGGGCGAAAGCAUGAUCCAGCAAUGCCGCGUGAGUGAUGAAGGCCUUAGGGUUGUAAAGCUCUUUUACCCGGGAUGAUAAUGACAGUACCGGGAGAAUAAGCUACGGCUAACUACGUG
This 433-nucleotide ribosomal RNA is filed under the name uncultured bacterium. Its description in RNAcentral is "partial 16S ribosomal RNA". It matches the Rfam family "Bacterial small subunit ribosomal RNA", at positions 29 to 507 of the family's 1533-position model. The record is from RNAcentral.